UCUAAGCGUGAAGCCCACCUCAAGAAUAAGUGUCCCAUUCGAAAGAAGUAAGACCCCUGGAAGACUACCAGGUGAUAGGUCAUCGGUGAAAGAGUGGUAACAUUUGAAGCUUGGUGAUACUAAUCGGUCGAGGACUUGAUCUA
RNAcentral lists this ribosomal RNA (143 nucleotides) under Clostridia bacterium. RNAcentral describes it as "partial 23S ribosomal RNA". It matches the Rfam family "Bacterial large subunit ribosomal RNA", at positions 2780 to 2925 of the family's 2925-position model. Lineage: Bacteria; Bacillati; Bacillota; Clostridia. The record is from RNAcentral.